UUUCAAUAACCUGAUUAACGGUAAGCAGGAAAAUUCACUCAGACCAUAUCUGACCUGGUGGUGUUUCGGAACCGGUUGCAGGUGUCCCGCCGGAAGUGGCCAAAUAUAACAGUGAACCAAACCUAUGCAUACGCCACAUCAAAUAACGAUAACCUGAUGUACGGUAAGCAGGAUAAUAGUCUCAGACCAUAUCUGAAGCGGUAGUGUUCCGAAACCGGUUCCGGGUGUCCCACCGGUACUGGCUAAAUGUAAAAGUGAACCAAACCUAUGAAUGCGACACAUCAAAUAGCGGCUUUUCCGAUAACCUGAUGAACACUAAGCAGGAAAAUAGUCUCAGACCAUAUCUGAACCAGUAGUGUUCAGGAAUCGGUUCCGUGUUGUAACCGUAGGUUCCAAUUUAGAAGCUUGAUGGCUCCUCCACAAGUAUUCCUUUCCAAAUCCAACCUGCCAGUAAGUUUCUAAAACCCCAAAUCCAACCCUGGAUAAACACACUGACAGCCUUACUGGUGGCGUAAUCACAGUUGUCAGUGAAAUGCGCAGGUCAGCUACUAAUAUAGCACACGUAGUGAGUACUCACACCUGCUACUUAGUGACAGCGGUUUGAACCAAUGUGGGAGUGGUGCCAACUGUCACGAAACGAUCGAGUAUCAAACUUCGGUUCGAUUCGGACUUGGGACAGGGAAAUUAGCACAUUCAAGGAGAAGGUUGGCGUCUUUCCAGCUGUGACCGCCAAAGAAGCCGGUAGUGCGCGGCGUGUUAAUUAGAAUAUUAAAUUGGUGUAAAAGUGGUGUAUAUAUAUACUUAGCAUGCGUUGUUUUAGAAAGCUGUAAGCACUCUAUUCAAAGUGAAGGUUAAGCUCUAGUGUACGGGUGUUAGCUACCGCGUGUGCACUACAAAGCAUUUCCAUUGUGCCUCUAGGAAAAAGAACAAAGAAAAGGUAAAAUCAAUUGUUAAAUUGUGAAUCAAGAGAGAGAGAGGGGAGAGACGAUCACGAGUGAGGGGUACUAAUUCCCAGGAUCAGGUCCGAAUACGGGCCUUUUCUUUUAAGCUCCUUGGAGCUGUAUUAUCCACAGAUUGCGACGAAACGUUGACGGGAAUCGGGUUCGUGCCAGAUCCGUAAAGACGCCACGUCCCAAACGCCUUGGGAUUGGUUGAACUGGACCGACCGAGGUCUUAACGCCACUACGUGCCCCGCCAUUGUUGAGGAAGUCAGAACCACCUCGUGGCGACACUUUCGACCAUCAUUUGGACACGCUCCUGGCCGCACCCAGCGAGUGCCGAAACCAUCGGCCGCAUCCAGCGAGUGCCGAAGCCGUCGGCCGUAUCUAGCAAGCUCUGAAACCGUCGGCCACACCCAUCGAGUGCCGAAAUCGUCGGCCGCACCCAGCAAGUGCCGAAGCCGUCGGCCGUAUCGAGCAAGCUCGAAAACCGUCGGCCACAUACAGCGAGGACCGAAACCGUCGGCCGCAUCCAGCGAGCGCCGAAACCGUCGACCGCAUCUAGCGAGCGCCGGAAUUGUCGACUGCAUUCUGCAAGGGCCGGUAACCCCAAGUGCAUCCUGUGAGUGCCGCAACCAUCGGCCAAGGUAACCACCUUCACCUGAGGGGGUUGAAACCGUCGGCCUCCGCGUCGGCGACAUCCGGAGAAACCACCCGCCGUCAAACCGAAGAGAAGCCAGGACGCCGUGAGCUCAAACCACCAUCCGAUCGGCCAUGUUCCUCCUUCCGAUGUCCUCGUUCAACAAGCUAGCCAACGUAGAUCUGCAGCGCUGCAAAGAGCAACAACCGCAAGUACCCUCUGUGUAUCGUCUCUCAUUCAUGAAAAUAACCCACUUGGGUGAAUAAAUAUGUAAGCAUGUAACUGAA
Aedes albopictus (Asian tiger mosquito) is the source of this 1865-nucleotide long non-coding RNA. RefSeq lists it as uncharacterized. The transcript has 2 exons. NCBI's taxonomy places the organism in Eukaryota, Metazoa, Arthropoda, Insecta, Diptera, Culicidae. The record is from RefSeq and is a predicted model, not a curated record.